Non-coding RNA from Mus musculus (house mouse), 139 nucleotides. The record is from Rfam. Lineage: Eukaryota; Metazoa; Chordata; Mammalia; Rodentia; Muridae.
GACCUCUGCAAUGGACAAAGAGACAUCUUGCUGGUGGUGUUCUUACAUAAGUCAGGGGAGAGCAGAUGGAAGUCCUUGCUUCAUCCUAGCUUGAUGCCUAGUUUGCUGGCCAAAGCUGUCUUAUACCUAGGAUGCAUGA